AUACGUAGGUGGCAAGCGUUGUCCGGAAUUAUUGGGCGUAAAGCGCGCGCAGGUGGUUCCUUAAGUCUGAUGUGAAAGCCCCCGGCUCAACCGGGGAGGGUCAUUGGAAACUGGGGAACUUGAGUGCAGAAGAGGAUAGUGGAAUUCCAAGUGUAGCGGUGAAAUGCGUAGAGAUUUGGAGGAACACCAGUGGCGAAGGCGACUGUCUGGUCUGUAACUGACACUGAGGCGCGAAAGCGUGGGGAGCAAACAGGAUUAGAUACCCUGGUAGUCCACGCCGUAAACGAUGAGUGCUAAGUGUUGGGGGGUUUCCGCCCCUCAGCGCUGCAGCUAACGCAUUAAGCACUCCGCCUGGGGAGUACGGUCGCAAGACUGAAACUCAAAGGAAUUGACGGGG
This 397-nucleotide ribosomal RNA is filed under the name uncultured bacterium. RNAcentral's name for it is "partial 16S ribosomal RNA". It matches the Rfam family "Bacterial small subunit ribosomal RNA", at positions 523 to 918 of the family's 1533-position model. The record is from RNAcentral.